GUAGGUGGCAAGCGUUGUCCGGAAUUAUUGGGCGUAAAGCGCGCGCAGGCGGUUCUUUAAGUCUGAUGUGAAAGCCCACGGCUAACCGUGGAGGGUCAUUGGAAACUGGAGAACUUGAGUACAGAGGAGGAAAGCGGAAUUCCACGUGUAGCGGUGAAAUGCGUAGAGAUGUGGAGGAACACCAGCGGCGAAGGCGGCUUUCUGGUCUGUAACUGACGCUGAGGCGCGAAAGCGUGGGGAGCAAACAGGGAUUAGAUACCCUGGUAGUCCACGCCGUAAACGAUGAGUGCUAAGUGUUAGGGGGUUUCCGCCCCCCUUAGUGCUGCAGCUAACGCAUUAAGCACUCCGCCUGGGGAUACGGCCGCAAGGCUG
Molecule: ribosomal RNA, 372 nt
Filed under: uncultured organism
Description: partial 16S ribosomal RNA
Rfam family: Bacterial small subunit ribosomal RNA
Source: RNAcentral